CGCGUGGGAACGUGCCCUUCUCUACGGAAUAGCCUCUGGAAACGGAGAGUAAUACCGUAUACGCCCUUUGGGGGAAAGAUUUAUCGGAGAAGGAUCGGCCCGCGUUAGAUUAGGUAGUUGGUGGGGUAACGGCCUACCAAGCCUACGAUCUAUAGCUGGUUUUAGAGGAUGAUCAGCAACACUGGGACUGAGACACGGCCCAGACUCCUACGGGAGGCAGCAGUGGGGAAUCUUAGACAAUGGGGGCAACCCUGAUCUAGCCAUGCCGCGUGAGUGAUGAAGGCCUUAGGGUCGUAAAGC
This 300-nucleotide ribosomal RNA is filed under the name uncultured Paracoccaceae bacterium. Its description in RNAcentral is "bacterial SSU rRNA". It matches the Rfam family "Bacterial small subunit ribosomal RNA", at positions 114 to 431 of the family's 1533-position model. Lineage: Bacteria; Pseudomonadati; Pseudomonadota; Alphaproteobacteria; Rhodobacterales; Paracoccaceae. The record is from RNAcentral.